CCAGGAUGGGGCACAGCAGCUCAGGUUUGGGGGAAAAGACCCGAAUCCAGAGUGCAGGGGAGAGGGGCUUGGAUAUGCCAUGUCUUGGGCUCCUGCUGGCUUCUGAGGUUUCUUGUCAGCUUGGGAAAGACCCACCUUUAUUUUUGCCCUCACCCCAAGUCCCCCCUGGCUGGGGCUGGGCAGAGAGGGUAAGCUGAUCUCCGAUCCACAAAUACCACCAGCUGCUUCAUCCACAGAAGGCGCUAAGAACGGGGAGGUGAGGAAUAAGAUCCUUAAAAUAAACUCUUGGGCAUCCCCCUCACCAGCUGACUGGCUUUCCGGAGGCUUGUGGCUAUUUCCUCAAGCAAUGAUUGGCCAAGGACCUAGCAUAAUCCACCACAUUGGCCAAGGGGACGUGGUGCACCCCAAGGCCAUUUCUCUGCAUUGGAGGCUGCGAAUCUCCUCUGGAAAAUUCCCAACCCGAGGACCCACCAUGAGCCCAGCUCAGCCUGACCAGACAGCCUCUGCCUGGAGCAUUCACAUCAGAUGGAAAGAAGCUGCUGUGUCCUCCAGCAUCCUGGGACCCUGUCCUCUGCCCAGUGACACAGCAGCCAUGGCUAGCUUGAUUUCUGGUCUCCAAAGCUAAGCAUAACCUUCCCGGGGUUUCUGGUUUUUCAGCCUGUACGAAACAUGUCUCUGUUCUAAUUAAAGUUCCCAUGGUAUGGUGUUCUCA
This 712-nucleotide long non-coding RNA is filed under the name Homo sapiens (human). RNAcentral's name for it is "HSALNT0195829". Lineage: Eukaryota; Metazoa; Chordata; Mammalia; Primates; Hominidae. The record is from RNAcentral.